CUCCCGACUGUUUACCAAAAACACAGCACUCUGCUAACUCGUAAGAGGAUGUAUAGGGUGUGACGCCUGCCCGGUGCUCGAAGGUUAAUUGAUGGGGUUAGCAUUAGCGAAGCUCUUGAUCGAAGCCCGAGUAAACGGCGGCCGUAACUAUAACGGUCCUAAGGUAGCGAAAUUCCUUGUCGGUUAAAUACCGACCUGCAUGAAUGGCGUAACGAGAUGGGAGCUGUCUCAAAGAGGGAUCCAGUGAAAUUGUAGUGGAGGUGAAAAUUCCUCCUACCCGCGGCAAGACGGAAAGACCCCGUGGACCUUUACUACAGCUUGACACUGCUACUUGGAUAAGAAUGUGCAGGAUAGGUGGGAGGCUUUGAGUAUAUGACGCCAGUUGUAUAUGAGCCAUUGUUGAGAUACCACUCUUUCUUAUUUGGGUAGCUAACCAGCUUGAGUUAUCCUCAAGUGGGACAAUGUCUGGUGGGUAGUUUGACUGGGGCGGUCGCCUCCCAAAUAAUAACGGAGGCUUACAAAGGUUGGCUCAGAACGGUUGGAAAUCGUUCGUAGAGUAUAAAGGUAUAAGCCAGCUUAACUGCAAGACAUACAAGUCAAGCAGAGACGAAAGUCGGUCUUAGUGAUCCGGUGGUUCUGUGUGGAAGGGCCAUCG
RNAcentral lists this ribosomal RNA (655 nucleotides) under Campylobacter jejuni. Its description in RNAcentral is "partial 23S ribosomal RNA". It matches the Rfam family "Bacterial large subunit ribosomal RNA", at positions 1793 to 2447 of the family's 2925-position model. Lineage: Bacteria; Pseudomonadati; Campylobacterota; Epsilonproteobacteria; Campylobacterales; Campylobacteraceae. The record is from RNAcentral.